CCGGCUACCAGCGAAAAUAUUGGAGGAAAUCAGGACGGUGUCAUGAAUAAAACAUUCAGACGUGUUCGAAGAGGCGCCUUGGAUAGAGGGUCAGCCGUCCAACAGCCGCAGGAGAAUAGAGGAGCACCCCAUCAGGAGAAGUGCGCCAAAUCGCUGCCGUUUGAUGGAAAAAGCUGCAGGGGCAAGAUAGGGAGAGAUUGGGUGCAGAUUUAAAGUCCCCUGAUGCAUAUCUGCUAGAGGGUAAUACCCAUUGUGGAUUACAUCAAUAUUGGAGCUAAACAUGUAAUCGUACACUAAGGCCACACUCCGGAUCCACGUGGAUGACCUACAGUCCCAUCAGAACAAAUUGCUUUAGCGGGAAAGGAGCUUCUUGGAAUAAUUCAUAGGGUCUGACCUUCAGGAUGCAUCGUGAUCAGAGCCGAAGGUAAUGACACCACUCUACUCCCCGGCUCCCGUAGAAGGAAAAUACCCACAGUGGUGAAAAGACCA
Neolamprologus brichardi is the source of this 489-nucleotide long non-coding RNA. RefSeq lists it as uncharacterized. Lineage: Eukaryota; Metazoa; Chordata; Actinopteri; Cichliformes; Cichlidae. The record is from RefSeq and is a predicted model, not a curated record.